Molecule: long non-coding RNA, 520 nt
Organism: Notothenia coriiceps (black rockcod)
Lineage: Eukaryota; Metazoa; Chordata; Actinopteri; Perciformes; Nototheniidae
Exons: 4
Source: RefSeq, a predicted model, not a curated record
AGGUCAGAUGAUUGACAGGUGUCUCCUCCAACAGGGAGCCCAGGAAGGUGGUCCUUCACAGAGGAGCGACCGGGCUGGGCUUCAACAUCGUGGGGGGGGAGGACGGAGAGGGCAUCUUCAUCUCCUUCAUCCUCGCUGGAGGACCAGCUGACCUCUGUGGAGAGCUGAGGAAAGGAGAUAGACUGGUGUCUGUGAACGGGGUGGAUCUCAGGAAUGCGACCCAUGAGCAAGCGGCCGCCGCCCUGAAGAACGCCGGGCAGACGGUGACCAUCAUCGCCACCUACAGGCCGGAGGAGUACAGCAGGUUUGAGGCUAAGAUCCACGACCUGAGGGAGCAGAUGAUGAACAGCAGCAUCAGUUCAGGGUCUGGAUCUCUGAGGACCAAUCAGAAGAGGUCGCUGUACGUCAGAGUGCUGUUCGACUACGAUAAGACCUUUAACUACCAGUGCUUGACCCACUAAUACUUUACAUCAGGGGCGGACUGGGACUAGAAAUCAGCCCGGGCAUCUCGACCGACCCA